CUACACACGUGCUACAAUGGUAAGUACAGAGGGAUGCAAAACCGCGAGGUCAAGCCAACCCCACAAAACUUAUCUUAGUCCGGAUUGGAGUCUGCAACUCGACUCCAUGAAGUCGGAAUCGCUAGUAAUCGCAGAUCAGCUAUGCUGCGGUGAAUACGUUCCCGGGCCUUGUACACACCGCCCGUCACACCAUGGGAGUGAGUUGCUCCAGAAGCCGUUAGUCUAACCGCAAGGGGGACGACGACCACGGAGUGGUUCAUGACUGGGGUGAAGUCGUAACAAGGUAGCCGUAUCGGAAGGUGCGGCUGGAUCACCUCCUUU
Molecule: ribosomal RNA, 321 nt
Filed under: Betaproteobacteria bacterium
Lineage: Bacteria; Pseudomonadati; Pseudomonadota; Betaproteobacteria
Description: bacterial SSU rRNA
Rfam family: Bacterial small subunit ribosomal RNA
Source: RNAcentral